UCUUGGUCAUUUAGAGGAAGUAAAAGUCGUAACAAGGUCUCCGUUGGUGAACCAGCGGAGGGAUCAUUACCGAGUUUACAACUCCCAAACCCCUGUGAACAUACCACUUGUUGCCUCGGCGGAUCAGCCCGCUCCCGGUAAAACGGGACGGCCCGCCAGAGGACCCCUAAACUCUGUUUCUAUAUGUAACUUCUGAGUAAAACCAUAAAUAAAUCAAAACUUUCAACAACGGAUCUCUUGGUUCUGGCAUCGAUGAAGAACGCAGCAAAAUGCGAUAAGUAAUGUGAAUUGCAGAAUUCAGUGAAUCAUCGAAUCUUUGAACGCACAUUGCGCCCGCCAGUAUUCUGGCGGGCAUGCCUGUUCGAGCGUCAUUUCAACCCUCAAGCACAGCUUGGUGUUGGGACUCGCGUUAAUUCGCGUUCCCCAAAUUGAUUGGCGGUCACGUCGAGCUUCCAUAGCGUAGUAGUAAAACCCUCGUUACUGGUAAUCGUCGCGGCCACGCCGUUAAACCCCAACUUCUGAAUGUUGACCUCGGAUCAGGUAGGAAUACCCGCUGAAAUUAAGCAUAUCAAUAAGCGGAGGA
This 583-nucleotide ribosomal RNA is filed under the name uncultured fungus. RNAcentral's name for it is "eukaryotic LSU rRNA". The stretch from base 218 to 371 matches the Rfam family "5.8S ribosomal RNA". The record is from RNAcentral. Lineage: Eukaryota; Fungi.